RNAcentral lists this ribosomal RNA (427 nucleotides) under uncultured bacterium. RNAcentral's name for it is "bacterial SSU rRNA". It matches the Rfam family "Bacterial small subunit ribosomal RNA", at positions 355 to 774 of the family's 1533-position model. The record is from RNAcentral.
UGGGGAAUUUUGGACAAUGGGGGGAACCCUGAUCCAGCCAUGCCGCGUGCAGGAUGAAGGCCUUCGGGUUGUAAACUGCUUUUGUACGGAACGAAAAGGUCUUUUCUAAUAAAGAAGGCUGAUGACGGUACCGUAAGAAUAAGCACCGGCUAACUACGUGCCAGCAGCCGCGGUAAUACGUAGGGUGCGAGCGUUAAUCGGAAUUACUGGGCGUAAAGCGUGCGCAGGCGGUUAUGCAAGACAGAUGUGAAAUCCCCGGGCUCAACCUGGGAACUGCAUUAGUGACUGCAUAGCUAGAGUGCGGCAGAGGGGGAUGGAAUUCCGCGUGUAGCAGUGAAAUGCGUAGAUAUGCGGAGGAACACCGAUGGCGAAGGCAAUCCCCUGGGCCUGCACUGACGCUCAUGCACGAAAGCGUGGGGAGCAAACA